Molecule: long non-coding RNA, 1682 nt
Organism: Ostrinia nubilalis (European corn borer)
Lineage: Eukaryota; Metazoa; Arthropoda; Insecta; Lepidoptera; Crambidae
Exons: 2
Source: RefSeq, a predicted model, not a curated record
CGGGCGCGCGCGGGGCGGGCGGAGGCGGCGGUGCGGCGGCUGCACGCGCGGCUGCUGGCCGCGGACCUGCUGGUGAAGGACCUGUACGUCGAGAACUGCCACCUGGCGCACGCGCGCGCGCCCUGACGCCGCCCGCGCCCGGGUCGACGACCGCCUGGGAUACGUACGUCUGCUCCCAUUAGUCAUUCAUGAAGCCUCUCUUACUGUACACUGCGAGGGCCGAAGACGUCUAGGUUUGUUAAUUAAAAAGAUUUAUAGAAAUUAAACAUGACAUGGAAUUAAAAUUGACAUAAGUAAUGGUUAUAGACGAGCAACGUAAGACCGAAAGGGGACCAUUCAAGGCGUAGUCUUAAAAUUUCGCAAAAUAGGUAUUUCGUAUUCUUAUGUCCGUUUUCACCAUCAAUCCCUAAUUUUUAUGUGACCCCUAUGGUAACACGUAACAGUCAUUUUGUUUUCAUAGGGGUCACUUAAAAAUUAGGGAUUGAUAGUGAAAACAGGCAUUCGUCUCUGAAGGUUUGCCCGGAUGCGACUUCUAUGUUAUUUCAUACUAUCCUAAAAUGGUCUAACUGGUUCCCUAAUUGUUUGACAAACACCUUGUUUUGUUUCGCAAGCUUUUUAUUUUAUAGAUAGCAUUUAACAAAAUACAGAUUCUGCAAAUUUUUCUAAUGUUUAGUGUUCCCAAAAAUUUGAUUUAAUUUGUGAUUUUAAAAGUACAUGCUGUCCUAGCCAAGUGAAAUAAACAUUCCUUUACAAAAUCAAUAUUUUGUAAAAUGAUAAAUAUUUAUUACUUCUUGCACGUAAAAUUGCACAUGGCAGACUUAAUGCGUAAUAGUAUGUAUUAUCUACCAGCCAACCAUUGGUUAGGCAAAUAAAUUAAGGCUGUGCAAAAAUUUCAAAGUGGAUAUACUUACAUACAUUUAGAUAAAAUAAAUAACGUAAAAAAUACACCUUUAAUACGUAGACACAAUAAAAUCGUUGUCCACAGUACUGUCUAAAAUUAAAUAUAGUCUUAAAGGUGAAUUUUGAUUUAUCAAUAUACAUAGUUGAACGAUUCUGAAACGUCAAGUGGCAAAAAUCGGAACUAACAACCCAGUAUUGAUAGUAGCGUCCUCCUGUAAAUGACAUUUCAGUAUUUUCCAACGUGGCAAAAAUCAGAACUAAUAACCCAGCAUUGAUAGUAGCGCCCUCCUGUUAAUCUCAUAGCUGGGAUGGUUCAUCGUUGUGCAACUCACUUUUGAAAUAAACAUUUGGGAUUAGUUUUUUGACUAAUGAUGGGAUGUGAUACCAAGUCCCAAGUAUUGAAUUGAUUUGUUUGAUCAUUUCAUGUCAACUUUACCUGUAAUCUUCAUUGGAGGUAUUACACCAUGUAAAAAAUAAUUCACUUUCCCAAAGUGCCUUCUUUCGUAUUAAUGUUUUGCACUUUUUCAAUUAAGAUUUUCAGCUAAAUAAUGUUAUCAACCUGACUUAUAAAAAGUAUCUUUACUUUUUAUAGUAAAGAUUAGAGAUGAAACGGAUAUCCGGUAACUAUCCGGUAGGCCGGAUAUCCGGCCUAAAUUUACUAUCCGGCCGGAUACCGGAUAGUAACUCACUAUCCGGCCGGAUACCGGAUAUUAAAAAACUACGACAAUAAAGUGAAAUGCAUUAAUCUUUGAGGUAAAUGUCAAUAAAAUGGCUUAUAAUAA